GAAACUCUUUGCAGAGAGGCAGGAGGGUGUGGCCAUUGCUUCCUAGAGUUCUUCUCUCUUACCCUGGAGUUUUGAGCAUCAUACCUACUUAGGGCUACAGGAGCUGGCAGGGUCUGGUGCUGAUUCCAUCCAGCAUCUCACAGGACCAAAGGCCAGAGCUGUCAUGGGCAUGUCACUCCUUUGCUGGGUAACUAUUUUUCUUCUCAUAGCAGUCCCCAUGGAUGCUGGAGUCACUGAGAACUUCAGAUACCUGAUAACAGCAACAGGAUGUGAGGUGACACUGAGAUGUGAUCAGGACCUGGAUUAUGAGUCUAUGUACUGGUAUCGACAGGACCCAGGAUUAGGACUACAGCUGAUCUCUUUUUCCCUUAAUGUUGGCUUCAUUGAAACAGAAGUCCCUUACGGAUACAAUGCAUCUCGGAAUGAAAAGUCAUUCUUCCUGCUAACUCUCAAGCCUACAAACACAAACCAGACAUCUGGCUACUUCUGUGCUAGCAGCAAAACCACAGUAGAACAGAGUCACUUCUUCCUUGCACAAAAAAGGCAAUCAGAAGAGGCAAGGUGAC
Non-coding RNA from Phascolarctos cinereus (koala), 566 nucleotides. The record is from the annotation of a RefSeq genome assembly. Lineage: Eukaryota; Metazoa; Chordata; Mammalia; Diprotodontia; Phascolarctidae.